This is a long non-coding RNA of Stegodyphus dumicola, 2507 nucleotides long. Lineage: Eukaryota; Metazoa; Arthropoda; Arachnida; Araneae; Eresidae. The record is from RefSeq and is a predicted model, not a curated record.
UAUUGUAUUCAGUGUUAACAUUUUGUGAUAGUUUAUGUGUAUGUGUUUUUGUUUAGAAUUUGCUGUUCUAUAGUUUGUUGUUUUACACUAGGCACUUCAAGGUCAUUCUUUCCUUCUUCUGCCAUGCCUCAUGACCAUGGUAAUGACUGUUGCGAAAGGUGGUCAAGUCCUCUAAUUUACAAAAAUUUCCUAAUCCUCUUUGUGGGUUGCUGAUAACACAGAUUAUGAUUGUAGUGCUUAUUUUAAAGUAACAGACCAUAGUGCAAUGCUCAAAAUUGAAUAAUAUAAUAUACCUGAUUUAUAGCAGCUUUUGUGUUAUCAGUGACUAGUUGGACUGAAGGAAAAAUAUUUCUGCAGAAUUUCGAUAAUAUAUAAUUUAUGAACUUCCUGCCCCCUUGAAAUUUGAAGAAAUAUCUGUGUUGCAUCUAAUUAUUAAAGAAAUUAAUAUUCCAAAUAUGGUAUUUUUAUAAAUGGAAUUUGCCAAUGAAUUUAAUUCAAAAGAGGACAAAUUUUGGCUCUGAGAAUUGGCAUAAUGUAAGUCAAAUACUUAGUCCUAUAGUUUCAAAAGUUUGAUUGCAAGCUUAUUGUUAUAUUUGGCACAUUUCUAUAUUUUUUAUUUUUGUAUUUAUUUUCAUAUUUGCAGUUCAAAAAGAAAGUUUGUCAGAUUUUGAAACUAUAUUACUCUAAUUCUUAUUAAAUUUCAUCAAAUCUCAUGGUUAAUUUUCCCUCUUUUGGAUUAAUAUUUUUUAUUUCAUAAUAUAACUGAAAAAUUAUGUUUUUAUUUUGUGAAAAAAAUUAAAUAUUUAAGAUUUUUGUUUCAGUUAUGCUUUAAAAAAGAGUUCUUACAAAUAAUAAUAUCCAUUUUAUGUAUCCACAUUUCUAAUCUGUGUGUACCUGUUGUAAGAUUAGUCUAUGUAUGCCGAGGUUAUAUUCAUAAUAGUGGAAAUAUAUUUAUGGCACUUGGGGUAGAGAAAAAUUAUUAGCAAUGGUUAAUAAAAUGUAUAAGAAGGUAGUUAUGACACAUCUGCAAAUUAUAAAAGUGUGUAUGUUACUAGAUGGAAAGUUUGAAUGUAAGUUUAUUGUUUCUCUUUAAGUGUAAAUAUAUUCAAAAAAUGAUCAUAGAAAUCUAUGAGUAUAUCUUUACUAUAUUAAGAUAGGCAUUUACAGAAUUCAGUUAUGCUAUUUUUUAUUGGUAAAUAAACUCUUAUAUUAAAAGUUGAAAAUAUUAUAUUGCUUAACCAUUUAACUUUUGAAAACUGUGUUAUUUAUAUAUGCAUAUAUAAUUAACUAAAUACUAGAGUCAGAUUGCAAGUUUCUCACUCAAGUCACAAGUCUGGGUAAAUCAAAAUUUCAAAAAGACAUUUUGAUUUACCCAGACUUAUGACUUGAGUUUGAUUUUUCUUAAAAUGUUUUGAAUUAACAAAAAUUUCAUGUUUUAGUUAGUAGCCAACAAAUAAAGCAAUUGAAUACCUAAUAUAAUAUUUUUCCCCCUGUAAAAGAUAUUGUACCCACUAUUUUAUCAACCUCUUCUUUUCUCUUAUUAGUGAGCUAUUGUAAUUAUUCUGUUUAGAAACACAACUGUUCUGUUAUCUUUCUCUAUAAUACUACAAUUUCAGUUCAGUCAUAUGAGUCAUUUAUCAGUUCCUCUUUCAUAUGUUUCAUAUGUUCAGCUUUCAUAAGUAGUGAAAAUGAUACAUUACUUUAAUAAACUAGUUUGUGUGUCCUAAUUAAUGGAUUUUUGUUCACAUUGAAACAAAAAUUGUUUUCUUUCUCAAAUCAUAAGAAGAAAAAUUCUGUUUGUGUUUCAUUACAGAAAAGAGAAUUUUAAUUCUGAACUUGUGUGAAUAAUUAAUUUUUAAUGAUUAAAAUUGUGUUUAUUAUUACGAACUGAUUCACAGAAAGACCGGGUUCGAUAAAAUAUGGCUGGAUCAUCAGAUAUUUCCAUAAUUUGCAUGUUGGCUUUCUGAUAAUAUUUACAACUGAAGCCUGAUAAUUAAGGACAAGCUUGUUGCAUGAUGAAGAAGAUCCAAAACGGUAUCCUCUGAAAAGAUUUCAUUGUUCCUUCUGUUCAUAUUCAUCAUACAAAAGUUCAAAUUGGAAAGCACACAUGAGAGUUCACACUCAAGAACGGCCAUUUGUUUGUAAUUUAUGUAGAAAAGCUUUUAAUCAUAAAGUUUCCUUAAACAGACAUAUGCAUUCUCAUACUGGUAAAAAACCGUACCAGUGUAAAAUUUGCUUACGUCAAUUUUGUACCAAAUCUGAUUGGAAACGCCAUUUUUUAGUUCAUCCGAUGGCCAUCUCAAGUUUAUCAAGCAAAUUUUGAUUUUCCAUUUAUGUUAUACUGUUCCUGUGCGUGCAACAUGGUAUUAUAUCCACUUCAGAUAUAUUUCUUAUUUUUAAUAUCUGUUAUAGACUGAAAUGGCCCAUUUGAUUUUGUUAUAUGAUCUGUAUUUUGCAAUAAGACUUUGAUUUAAUCAAGAAUUCAAUAAAAAAUAUUAAAAGAAGUC